GGGGGUACAGUGCAGUGGUAGAGUGUGUACUUGACGUGCACAAGGUCCUGGGUUCAAUCCCCAGUGGCCCCG
RNAcentral lists this transfer RNA (72 nucleotides) under Camelus bactrianus (Bactrian camel). It matches the Rfam family "tRNA". From Rfam's summary of the family: Transfer RNA (tRNA) molecules are approximately 80 nucleotides in length. Their secondary structure includes four short double-helical elements and three loops (D, anti-codon, and T loops). RNAcentral also lists the same sequence under 1 other name. Lineage: Eukaryota; Metazoa; Chordata; Mammalia; Artiodactyla; Camelidae. The record is from Rfam by way of RNAcentral.